Molecule: ribosomal RNA, 459 nt
Filed under: uncultured bacterium
Lineage: Bacteria
Description: partial 16S ribosomal RNA
Rfam family: Bacterial small subunit ribosomal RNA
Source: RNAcentral
CCUACGGGAUGCAGCCGUGAGGAAUAUUGGUCAAUGGGAGAGAUUCUGAACCAGCCAAGCCGCGUGCGGGAAGCCGGCCCUAUGGGUUGUACACCUCUUUUGUCGGAGAACAAAACCCGGGACGUGUCUCUGACUGCGUGUAUCCGAAGAAAAAGCAUCAGCUAACUCCGUGCCAGCAGCCGCGGUGAUACGGAGGAUGCGAGCGUUAUCCGGAUUUAUUGGGUUUAAAGGGUGCGUAGGCGGUCGGUUAAGUCAGCGGGAAAAGUGCGGGGCUCAACUCCGUCGAGCCGUUGAAACUGGGAGACUUGAGUGGGCGAGAAGUACGCGGAAUGCGCGGUGUAGCGGUGAAAUGCAUAGAGAUCGCGCAGAACUCCGAUUGCGAAGGCAGCGUACCGGCGCCAGACUGACGCUGAGGCACGAAAGCGUGGGGAUCGAACAGGAUUGGAUACCCGAGUAGUC